Toxotes jaculatrix (banded archerfish) is the source of this 1707-nucleotide long non-coding RNA. RefSeq lists it as uncharacterized. The record is from RefSeq and is a predicted model, not a curated record. The transcript has 4 exons. Lineage: Eukaryota; Metazoa; Chordata; Actinopteri; Toxotidae.
UCUAGAAUUGUUUUGUAACUCUACUGUCAAAAGGGAGCCUGGGUGUCACACUUAAUAUUUUUGUAAACUGCUGUGGUGUCUUUCAGGAGUCCCCAGUAAAACAUGUGACUAUGAAGUUGCUUGCAAUUUACCUGUCUACAUGGUCCAGUCACCAUUAUCCAUUUCAUUUUAAACUUUAUGGUUAUACAAUUUCAUUUUGUUUCUCUUAUCUGCAGGUGCACAGCUUUUAUUGUGAAGCUGGAGUCUCUUCACUUCCGCUCCCGUUGUUCCUGCUCGUGCCUGGGUCGGUCUGCUUUACUCAGCUGGGCAACCCCCCUCCGUGACGUCACUGCACGCCCCUCAGACGGGGUUUUGGAGGAGGAGCGCGAGAGAUCACCUUUCACCCACAAAGCCAAACGCGUAGACGGAUAAACGUGUUAACGUUUUCCCAGUUCUGGGGCCAUGAUGUCGCAUCUGCUAUGAAACACGUCGGCCACGAGAAAGGGAGAAAAAAACGUGAUUUGUAUCAGGCUGAAGAACAGAAGAAAUUCUUCCAGUGUCUACAACAGAAUCUGCAACAAGAGAUGUGUGACAGGAUUGGUUAGAUGGUGAGCUGCAGUUUGAUGCAUUCCUCCACUGCCUCCUCCAGAGUUGGGAUCUUCUCUCCGGCAAAUUUCUCCCUGACGACAAAGGAGGACACAACUGUUACAGUACUAUGUCAGGCUCACAUGCAUACCAAAAAUGUCUCUACAAAACAAAUUUUUACAGCUGAACUGGGAAACAUCAUGUUUAACUUUGAUCAAUGACAUGCUUAUCUCUUCUGAGACAAAAUGAUGAAAAGGACCUGAUAAUGUUCAUGAGACUCUGUUAUAAAGGUACUUGGCAUGUGUCUAUCUAGACAGGGUUCAUAGGUAAGGCUGGGUAAUAUAAUAACUACCAGGGCCCCUGUGUGAUUAUAAUCUUAAUCAGACCUGUAAAACUUUAAGCUCCUGUGCCAUUGAAAUAGUUCUUAUCUCUCUCACUUUCUUUUGAAUGUGCAGUAGUCAUGUGGUUUAUUGGUAUAACAAGAUUUCCAAAUGGAGAGGACACUGUUACUGCUAUAAUUUUAGAGACAAAUUACACAGAUUUCUCCUCUCAGGGAAAUUGUUUGUUGAAUGCUGCAGAUGUCCUGUGAUAUUUAUACAUUUGCUUGUCCGACAUUGUUCUGAAAAUUUCUGCCAUCUGAACAGGAUCAGUUUUCAUAUCUCUCACUCAUUCUGCCUCAUGUAGUCUGUCUCAUGUGCACAUGUUUAGAAAAAAGAAUCUAUUGUUUUUUGUGUUUUGAAACAUCUUGUAAUGUUCGUGAUUAAGAAAAUGAACUUUUCUGUUUCACUCGCUAAGACUUUCUCAUCCUCCUGUUCUUGUGGUAAGGUUCUAAAUAGCGUUUGAAUUUGUGCUCAUCCCAACUGCAUCCUAACUUGUUAUCUUACUUUUGGGGGACUGUUUUGCAUGUUUCUUUUGUUUGUUUGGAAAAGAGCUGUUUUUAGAAACCCCCUGGGUUACUUGUCUCGCUUGUUUUACCAACAGCGUGCCUCUUUAUUAAUAGAAACUUUCCCCUUUUUGCUUUCAAUUAAAGGUUUUAUUGACAUUCCUUGAAUAAUUAGGUUAAUUUGUUUAUUGGUCUUUAUAAAGUCUUUUUAAAAUAUUUUCUUACAGAUGUUCUGGAGCCUACCAGUAUUCACAAUCAAA